GUAUAUGAGGGUGAUCUGGCUGCAACAUCUGUCACCCAUUAACCAUUAAUGUUGAUUCUGCUGAUCUGCCUGGCUAGGCAGGUGUUCCCUUCCUCCCUCACCACUCCCUGUGCAUUCCUCAUGAAGCUGCACACACUAUUGAAGAGGGUGACCUUCCCCUCCUAGAGGACUGGUCUUUGGUCAAGAUUAUACAAGUAGCACUCCCCUCCUAAAACUUCCAAACAAACUCUCAAAAUAUAUACUUCACUACACUUUAGUAAUAAUUCUGUACCAUGAAUGACCAUGGUCAAUUGAAACUAUACCAAGGGAAACUGAGGAAAAGAACUAUCUUGACCUGAUAUUU
Molecule: small nuclear RNA, 343 nt
Filed under: Jaculus jaculus (lesser Egyptian jerboa)
Lineage: Eukaryota; Metazoa; Chordata; Mammalia; Rodentia; Dipodidae
Description: 7SK RNA (ENSJJAG00000002171.1)
Rfam family: 7SK RNA
About the family: 7SK was discovered as an abundant small nuclear RNA in the mid-70s but a possible function has only recently been suggested. Two independent studies have found that 7SK RNA binds the CDK9/cyclin T complex (known as elongation factor P-TEFb).
Source: RNAcentral